GAUGAACGCUGGCGGCGUGCCUAAUACAUGCAAGUCGAGCGAACAGACGAGGAGCUUGCUCCUCUGACGUUAGCGGCGGACGGGUGAGUAACACGUGGAUAACCUACCUAUAAGACUGGGAUAACUUCGGGAAACCGGAGCUAAUACCGGAUAAUAUAUUGAACCGCAUGGUUCAAUAGUGAAAGACGGUUUUGCUGUCACUUAUAGAUGGAUCUGCGCCGCAUUAGCUAGUUGGAAAGGUAACGGCUUACCAAGGCAACGAUGCGUAGCCGACCUGAGAGGGUGAUCGGCCACACUGGAACUGAGACACGGUCCAGACUCCUACGGGAGGCAGCAGUAGGGAAUCUUCCGCAAUGGGCGAAAGCUUGACGGAGCAACGCCGCGUGAGUGAUGAAGGUCUUCGGAUCGUAAAACUCUGUUAUUAGGGAAGAACAAAUGUGUAAGUAACUAUGCACGUCUUGACGGUACCUAAUCAGAAAGCCACGGCUAACUACGUG
This 497-nucleotide ribosomal RNA is filed under the name uncultured bacterium. RNAcentral's name for it is "partial 16S ribosomal RNA". It matches the Rfam family "Bacterial small subunit ribosomal RNA", at positions 28 to 507 of the family's 1533-position model. The record is from RNAcentral.